Molecule: long non-coding RNA, 642 nt
Organism: Bos taurus (domestic cattle)
Lineage: Eukaryota; Metazoa; Chordata; Mammalia; Artiodactyla; Bovidae
Source: Ensembl
GUGUCCGACUCUGUGCCACCCCAGAGACGGCGGCCACCAGGCUCCCCCGUCCCUGGGAUUCUCCAGGGAAGUGGAGUGGGGGAAACAAAUACAAUCCGGUGAACGAGGAUGGAUCAGCCUGAUUCCUGAAAAAGUGGUGGUUGACCAGCCUGCUCGGUGUCACCUGGAAACUCGUAAGAAAUGCAAACCCUCAGGUCCCACUCUUGAACUACUGAAUUAGAAAUCUGCAUUUGAAUAGCAUCCCCAGGGGAUUUAUAUUCACAUCGACGUUUGAGAAGCACUGAUAACAACAGGAUGGCAUUGGCAGAGGAUGGACCAUGGAUGAGCCUGAUUGCAGAGUACCAGGUGCCCGAAGCCAGCACGUGGCACGAGGGUUCCAGAAGCUCCACACACACGUCAGAGCAGGACUGUUCGUUCAGCCAGGAGAGUGGCAAGACUCCUGGGCUCAGACUGAGGAGGCUUUAGAAUAUAGGCAUGAUGCCAAAGGUCGUGGAUUUCUUAUUAUGACAAUCUCCUCAGACCAGGUCGACACCAUAUCUCAGCAACUACUGGUUCAUUAUGUUCAGAGACUUGACAAGGCAGGUGGCAUCUCAGCAAAGCCAGGAAGGAGACUGGUAUCUUCAGACGCACGGUGGUGAGGAU